RNAcentral lists this ribosomal RNA (875 nucleotides) under Bacillus halotolerans. Its description in RNAcentral is "bacterial SSU rRNA". It matches the Rfam family "Bacterial small subunit ribosomal RNA", at positions 81 to 940 of the family's 1533-position model. Lineage: Bacteria; Bacillati; Bacillota; Bacilli; Caryophanales; Bacillaceae. The record is from RNAcentral.
GCUCCCUGAUGUUAGCGGCGGACGGGUGAGUAACACGUGGGUAACCUGCCUGUAAGACUGGGAUAACUCCGGGAAACCGGGGCUAAUACCGGAUGCUUGUUUGAACCGCAUGGUUCAAACAUAAAAGGUGGCUUCGGCUACCACUUACAGAUGGACCCGCGGCGCAUUAGCUAGUUGGUGAGGUAAUGGCUCACCAAGGCAACGAUGCGUAGCCGACCUGAGAGGGUGAUCGGCCACACUGGGACUGAGACACGGCCCAGACUCCUACGGGAGGCAGCAGUAGGGAAUCUUCCGCAAUGGACGAAAGUCUGACGGAGCAACGCCGCGUGAGUGAUGAAGGUUUUCGGAUCGUAAAGCUCUGUUGUUAGGGAAGAACAAGUACCGUUCGAAUAGGGCGGUACCUUGACGGUACCUAACCAGAAAGCCACGGCUAACUACGUGCCAGCAGCCGCGGUAAUACGUAGGUGGCAAGCGUUGUCCGGAAUUAUUGGGCGUAAAGGGCUCGCAGGCGGUUCCUUAAGUCUGAUGUGAAAGCCCCCGGCUCAACCGGGGAGGGUCAUUGGAAACUGGGGAACUUGAGUGCAGAAGAGGAGAGUGGAAUUCCACGUGUAGCGGUGAAAUGCGUAGAGAUGUGGAGGAACACCAGUGGCGAAGGCGACUCUCUGGUCUGUAACUGACGCUGAGGAGCGAAAGCGUGGGGAGCGAACAGGAUUAGAUACCCUGGUAGUCCACGCCGUAAACGAUGAGUGCUAAGUGUUAGGGGGUUUCCGCCCCUUAGUGCUGCAGCUAACGCAUUAAGCACUCCGCCUGGGGAGUACGGUCGCAAGACUGAAACUCAAAGGAAUUGACGGGGGCCCGCACAAGCGGUGGAGCAU